AACAUAUUACAUGUUCUAUUACAUAAAGAAAAGCACCACAAACCAAAUUCUAAAAAAAAACAAGAGCUCUUGCUUUUUGUCCUCACAAUUUUUCCAUGAUGAAAGGUGUUGCAAUUCAGCAAGUCUUGGUGUUGGACUCAACAUUUGUCUCCAAAAUUUUCUCAAUCUAGCCAUGACUGCUAUGUUCUAUCUUUUCUUGGACCAAGGGGAAGCUGAAGCUCUUUGAGUUAAGAUUCUCAUUUGAUAUUAUUGAACCUCAAAAGUUUUACUACAGUAAAAACCAGAGUCCUGCAGUAAAAAGAAAAGGACAAGAUGACCUAUAGCACAAUUAGUUUCACCAAACAAUAAAGAAAGCAAUAAACACAUUAUGCAGCAUAAUACAAACAACUCUGCAAUUACCACAACAAGAGUAACAAUACAACAUCAAUAUCAAUUUCACCAAUUCUGCAGUAAACACAUACAAAAAAAAGACAUUCGUGAAAUACCAUAACCAAUUCUGCUUCAUUCUCAAUUCACUCUGCUCCACUCCCAAUUCCAUCAAUACACAACUUAUCACUAAGUAUGUGUCCUUUAACCUAAUCCUAAUAAACCCUUCAUAAUCACUAUUAUAAAAAGAGUUUUUUCAUAACAACAAAGAGGGAUAUUGAAAAAAAACCUAGCCGCACCAUAAUAAACUACACUGGAAAAAAACAUACUGCAAAAAUAAAAAAGUAUACACUGAUAGAUCAAGAACUUAACAUAUUCGAGCAACAAUAACCAAUCAACAACGUAAUCAAAGGAAGAAGGGAUAGAUAAUAAUAUUUAUAGAAGAGGAAGAACGCUAGAAAAAGUUGAAGCAUACCUAACACGUAUUGUGGCUAUUUCCUGCGCAACACAAGGUGGUUAUUUCAUUGCCUUUAAGCUACUCUGUUGAUUACUUCAUUUUUUUGCUUUGAAUGUUGUGAUAUAUCAUGUAACCGAAAUCAAAAUAGUGAAAUAUGCAUGAGGUAUGGGAUUGUGAGGAUAAAGGGAUCUGUUUGUGUUUUGUGUUCGUUCGAUUCACGUUUCCUUAUUGAUGUUUGAACGUUUUUGCUUCUGAUGCUUUCAUCCAUUAUUUU
Molecule: long non-coding RNA, 1097 nt
Filed under: Lathyrus oleraceus (garden pea)
Lineage: Eukaryota; Viridiplantae; Streptophyta; Magnoliopsida; Fabales; Fabaceae
Description: Pisum sativum (pea) long non-coding RNA (PSAT_LNC021783)
Source: RNAcentral